AGAGUUUGAUCCUGGCUCAGAAUCAACGCUGGCGGCGCGCUUAACACAUGCAAGUCGCACGAGAAAGUGGAGCAAUCCAUGAGUACAGUGGCGUACGGGUGAGUAACACGUGGAUCAUCUACCUCUUGGUGGGGAAUAACCCUGGGAAACCGGGGCUAAUACCGCAUAAGCCUGCAAAGGGAAAGCAGCAAUGCGCCGAGAGAGGAGUCCGCGGCCGAUUAGCUUGUUGGUAGGGUAACGGCCUACCAAGGCAAUGAUCGGUAGCCGGCCUGAGAGGGCACACGGCCACACUGGCACUGAAACACGGGCCAGACUCCUACGGGAGGCAGCAGUGGGGAAUCUUGCACAAUGGGGGAAACCCUGAUGCAGCGACGCCGCGUGAGCGAUGAAGCCCUUCGGGGUGUAAAGCUCUUUCGGCAGGAACGAUAAUGACGGUACCUGCAGAAGAAGCUGCGGCUAACUACGUGCCAGCAGCCGCGGUAAUACGUAGGCAGCAAGCGUUGUUCGGAAUUACUGGGCGUAAAGAGUGUGUAGGCGGUUCUCUAAGUUCCGUGUGAAAUCUCCCGGCUUAACUGGGAGGGUGCGCGGAAAACUGGAGGGCUGGAGUAUGGGAGAGGAAAGCGGAAUUCCUGGUGUAGCGGUGAAAUGCGUAGAUAUCAGGAGGAACACCUGCGGUGUAGACAGCUUUCUGGAUCAUCACUGACGCUGAGACACGAAAGCGUGGGUAGCAAACAGGAUUAGAUACCCCCGUAGUCC
RNAcentral lists this ribosomal RNA (756 nucleotides) under uncultured bacterium. RNAcentral describes it as "bacterial SSU rRNA". It matches the Rfam family "Bacterial small subunit ribosomal RNA", at positions 8 to 796 of the family's 1533-position model. The record is from RNAcentral.